This 440-nucleotide ribosomal RNA is filed under the name uncultured bacterium. RNAcentral describes it as "partial 16S ribosomal RNA". It matches the Rfam family "Bacterial small subunit ribosomal RNA", at positions 338 to 795 of the family's 1533-position model. The record is from RNAcentral.
CCUACGGGGGGCAGCAGUGGGGGAUCUUUCACAAUGGGGGAAACCCUGAUGCAGCAACGCCGCGUGAGUGAAGAAGGAUUUCGGUAUGUAAAGUGCUAUCAGCAGGGAGGAGAAUGACGGUACCUUACUAAGAAGCACCGGCUAACUACGUGCCAGCAGCCGCGGUAAUACGUAGGGGGCGAGCGUUAUCCGGAUUUACUGGGUGUAAAGGGAGCGUAGACGGCUGAUAAAGUUUGAGGUGAAAGCCUGGGCUUUAACACCGAGACGCCUUUGGAAACUGAGCAGCUAGAGUGCGGGAGAGGUAAGCGGAAUUCCUAGUGUAGCGGUGAAAUGCGUAGAUAUUAGGAGGAACACCAGUGGCGAAGGCGGCUUACUGGACAGUAACUGACGUUGAGGCUCGAAAGCGUAGGGAGCAAACAGGAUUAGAUACCCGAGUAGUC